This 485-nucleotide ribosomal RNA is filed under the name uncultured bacterium. RNAcentral describes it as "bacterial SSU rRNA". It matches the Rfam family "Bacterial small subunit ribosomal RNA", at positions 28 to 502 of the family's 1533-position model. The record is from RNAcentral.
GAUUAACGCUAGCGGAAGGCAUAAUACAUGCAAGUCGAACGGGAUAGAACUUAGCAAUAGGUUCUUGAGAGUGGCGCACGGGUGCGUAACGCGUAUGCAAUCUACCUUUUGCAGGGGAAUAGCCCAGAGAAAUUUGGAUUAAUGCCCCAUAGUAUAAUGACUCGGCAUCGAGAUAUUAUUAAAGUCACAACGGCAAAAGAUGAGCAUGCGUCCCAUUAGCUAGUUGGUAAGGUAACGGCUUACCAAGGCGACGAUGGGUAGGGGUCCUGAGAGGGAGAUCCCCCCACACUGGUACUGAGACACGGACCAGACUCCUACGGGAGGCAGCAGUGAGGAAUAUUGGACAAUGGGCGCAAGCCUGAUCCAGCCAUGCCGCGUGCAGGAUGAAGCAUCUAUGGUGUGUAAACUGCUUUUGUACGGAACGAAAAGGUCUCUAUUAAUACGGGGGCUCAUGACGGUACCGUAAGAAUAAGCACCGGCUAACU